Molecule: ribosomal RNA, 433 nt
Filed under: uncultured bacterium
Lineage: Bacteria
Description: partial 16S ribosomal RNA
Rfam family: Bacterial small subunit ribosomal RNA
Source: RNAcentral
AACGAACGCUGGCGGCAUGCCUAACACAUGCAAGUCGAACGAGAUCUUCGGAUCUAGUGGCGCACGGGUGCGUAACGCGUGGGAAUCUGCCCCUUGCUUCGGAAUAACAGUGAGAAAUUACUGCUAAUACCGGAUGAUGCCUUCGGACCAAAGAUUUAUCGGCAAGGGAUGAGCCCGCGUAGGAUUAGGUAGUUGGUGGGGUAAUGGCCUACCAAGCCGACGAUCCUUAGCUGGUCUGAGAGGAUGAUCAGCCACACUGGGACUGAGACACGGCCCAGACUCCUACGGGAGGCAGCAGUGGGGAAUAUUGGACAAUGGGCGAAAGCCUGAUCCAGCAAUGCCGCGUGAGUGAUGAAGGCCUUAGGGUUGUAAAGCUCUUUUACCAGGGAUGAUAAUGACAGUACCUGGAGAAUAAGCUCCGGCUAACUCCGUG